This is a long non-coding RNA of Cebus imitator (Panamanian white-faced capuchin), 7502 nucleotides long. RefSeq lists it as uncharacterized. The transcript is spliced from 2 exons. The record is from RefSeq and is a predicted model, not a curated record. NCBI's taxonomy places the organism in Eukaryota, Metazoa, Chordata, Mammalia, Primates, Cebidae.
GUUGACCAGGAUAGUCUCGAUCUCUUGACCUCAUGAUCCACCCGCCUCGGCCUCCCAAAGUGCUGGGAUUAUAGGCUUGAGCCACCGCACCCGGCCAGGAAUUUUUUUUAAUAAAGAAGUGGUGAAUGUGAGAGAUGGAUAAGCUCCUCAUUGCUGUUUUUGGAUCUGAAAUCUUUAGAAGGAUGGAGGAAUACCAAAGUUCCUCAGCAGGCAGUGUCGCCCCAAAUCAAGAAUCCUGUUCACCAUCCCACAUUCUACAAAGAAUAAGAAACCCACUUGAGCCCCCGUGCGUGCCUUACUCCCAUUCCGGCAAGGGGUGGUGGGCUUCUCCAGGAUGGGCUUUCACUUGGCCUCUGCCCCGUUCCUGCCUGAGACUUGAGCAUCGCCCUCAGUGGUCCUGCCUUGGAGCUGUGUCAGAGGAACGGAGGGGUUCUCUGGCCCUGGCCUGGUGGCACCACAGCAGCAACUGGCUUCACCCACUGUUUCUGAGGCUCUCCCCAUUUUCUGUGGCACAUAAGCAGAAGGGAAGGGUUUGAUGAGGGUGUUGGGCAGAGCCCCAUGCUCAGCCACGUCAUGAGAAGCCCCAGCAAGGCGGCGGCAGGAGGUACAGUGCGAGGCCCUCGUCCACCGGGUUGUAGUCUCCACAUAUGCCAGAGAGGGCACCCAGCUCAGCCACCUCAGCCUUCGGUGGAUCCACCAGCCUUUCCUCCACUCUGCAGAUGCCCGCUCAGUGCCCACUGCGCCAGUCACCCUCACAGGUUCUAGGGAAGCGGACAAGCAAAUCCUUGCUCUUCAACACACUGCUUCCGUGGGAUUUCUUUUCCUUGGGAAGAACAGAACCAUAACUUACACUCUCACCUAGUUUUUGACUCUGGGUUCCUUGGUGCCCAGUGACUGUUGUUCUUUCCUGUCACAAACAGAACCUUCUCCCUCCCUGCAUCCUUUCACCUUCUCAUGCCUCAGACUCUAGUUUUCACCCAGUCAGGGUGCAAUAUGACAGCACUGUACUGGAGGGUCCUGAGACCCAUGGUUCCCCAACGUUUGCAUGAAAAGCAGCACCCAAGGGCUGGUUCAACUCAGAUGCCCAAGCCCCAUAACCAGAGCGUCCGGCUCAGCGGGAGUGACGGAAGUCCAGAUGGUGCUGAUGCCAGAGGUUCGAGGCUGUAUAACUUUACAGUAAUGACUUUCUCCAUUAAAUGUGUCUAUGGCUACAGCACCCCCAAAGGACAGGAUUGGGCCCACCUUCCCCAUACAACGACCGACCCAAUGGCCUGCAGAGGAUCCACCGCCCAGGGCCAUGGGCCAGAGGGAGUUGACACCACACUACUGUGGUCUUUUUCUUGGUGACAUUCUCUGUGAUCUGCUCAUUUAGGAUUGAGUUGGGUGUGCAUGGUGUGGCAGCUGCUGUAUAGGUUUUCCUGGGACAGAAAGUAAAAGCUAUUUCUACUUUAAGCUUAAUGGCGCUUGUAUUUAUAUAGAUCCUUUGCUGUCUGGUCUCUAAAUUGACUUGGGAUUUUCACAUUGUUCUAUUCUGCUAUGGGCAGUGGAAAUUGGAGUCUCCACCAGAGUUCUGCCUGGAAGCAUUAGAACCCUGCCUUUAUGGAGUCCUCUCUUUCUCUGCCAGGAGAUGAAGCCAGCAUGUGUUUGGCCCUACUAGAAACAAUAAGAGCUUUUCAGAAGUUGGCUUUUUGGACCUUGUGGCCAUCAAGCCUAGCCUCGGGGUCUGCGGAAACCCCUUGGUAUACAUUGGAGGUGUCUGCUUUCUCACCCCACAAACAGGGACUGGAGUGCCUCAGAGGCGGUGCGGCUCACUGCGGAAGACUUCUUUUCCCUAGCCAACUUCCCUCUGUAUCCAACUGAAAUCUGCCUCUGAACAGCUUUCAUCUACUGAUCCUAAUUUGAAUCUCUUGAGCUGCAAAGAAUAUCUUUCUCACGUCAAGACCUGAGACUGUUUCUUGCCUUAGUCUUUACCUCUCUAGGCUCAGUUUUACUGUUACCAGCUCACUCUCUUUCAACUCAACUUUCGCAUCUGGUCACCCUCCUCAGGAUGCUCUGAAAACGAUACAUACAGACUGACCUUCCUAAUGACCCGACUAAUGAGAAAGGCUGCAAAAUUAGUCAUCAUCCAUGCAGUCGCCUCCCUGGGGAGGAAAAUGUUAAAUCUUCAUUGCAAGUGCUGUAAAAUGAAGUGAAAAGAUGCAGUUCCUCUUUUGAGGACGGAAUACCCAGAUUCUUCUCCUUCAGAUAUAGACUAAACACAUGUAUACGGAUCACCCACUAUGUAUCAGAUAUCGGUGACGCUUUCUUGGAUUGUCACACCCAUCCACAGAGGCAGGGCACAUUACUGUUGUUUUGUGGAUAAAUACCAGCCUCAGCUGAAUGGAGUAGACGGCCCAAGUUCUUACAGACUGGAAGGGACAGAGCCAAAAAUUUAAAGGCAAAUCUGAGUGAGGGCAAGUUCACUGCUUUUAUAAGUAAAUGUCUGCAGUAGCCACUAGGUAGACACAAGACGCGAAACAGGAUUUUGAGUUUCACAUCAACAUAACACUGGGUUUAAUUCUGGCUCUGCCACUGAGAGUUGUGUGACCUUCCACACGCCACUUCACUUCACAGGAUAACUGUAAAGGACUAAAUGGGCUUGCACGCAUGCUGGCAAUAAGCAGCAUGUGGCAAGCACUCACACCUGAGCUGUGUUCAUUAUUAGCAGCAGAGCUGGAGAAUGUUAGUUUCCUGUUGCUGAGAUGACAAGUUACCACAAACCUCAUGGCUUAACACAUAUUUAUUAUCUUGAAGUUCUGUAGAUUAGGAACUCAGCAUACUCACUGGGCUAGGGUCAAGGUGUCAGCAGGUGUGUUCCUUCUGGAGGCUCUAGGGGUAAAUCUGUCUCCUUUCCCAGCUUGAACAGGCCACCAACUUGACUUGGCUCAUGGCCCCUUCCUCCAUCUUCAGAGCCAGCAAAUCCUCAUGCUGCCAUCUCUGAUUUUUUCUCUCUUGAUUCUUCCUUCCACUUACAAGAACCCACCCAGAUUAUCCACAAUAAUCUUGCCCAUCUCAAGGUCUGCUGAUUAGCAACUUUUGUAGUCCAUUUUCUGUUGCUUGUAACACAGCACCUGAAACUAUUUAAUUUAUUUUAAUGAGGAAUUAUUUCUUACAGUUUUGGAGACUGAGAAGUCCAUGGUCAUGGUGGUGCAUCUGGUGAGGACCUUCUUGCGAAUGGGGCUUCUGCAGUCCUGAGGCAGUGCAGGGCAUCACAUGGCCGGGGGCGGAGCAUACUAACAUUCUUGCUCAGGACACUCUUCCUCCUCUUAUAAAGCCUCAGUUCCAUUCAUGUUAUAUAACCCAUGAAUUCCUUGACCUGUUAAUUCAUGAAUGGAUUAAUUCAUUCAUGAGGGCAUAGCCCUCAUGAUCCAGUCACCUCUUAAAGGCCCUACCUCUCCAUAUUGCCACAUUGGGGAUUAAGUUUCCAACACAUGAAAUUUGGGGAAUACAAGAAAACCACAGCACAUUCCAUCUACAGUUUUAAUUUCUCUUUGCCAUGUAACCUAACAUAGUCACAGGUUCCAGGAAUUAGGACAUGGAUAUCUUGGCUUGGCUUGGGGGUGAACAGAGAACCUAACAGUAAUUCUUAGUUCCCGCUCCAAACAUGGCCCUUAGGACCCAAAUAAGCUUAAUUUAUUUGGGUCCUAUCCAGGAAUGGAGCCAUUGGAACAGAGAGAGAAGAGAGAACUGGAAAGCCUUUGUAAAACACACACUGGCAUCUUCUAGUUUGACUCUUGUGUUCCUCCCCCAGUUCUGGCCCAGUAAAUGCAGGUCCUUCCCAGUUCUACCAGUCUGAUUAGUCACCCCUCCUCCCAUGGGAAAUCCAAGGCUGGUGAGGGACCACGGGGAGGUGGUCCAGGUUAUCCACAUGGCAGAGAAAAGAACUUUUUCCUGGAAAGUAGAGCUCAUAUCCUUGCCUCUCUGGAAAUUUAUCUGGGUUGAUUUAAGAAAGCUUUCCAAAUAGGCCUUCCAUAACUGCUGUAUCCCUAUGUGGCAAAGGCCACUGGCCUCCUCUUGGAGUUCUCAUGCCCACACCUGGGUGCUGGUGCCCAUCCUUCGUCCCUCACGCGUGCAACAGGGCCAGUCGCUUCAGUACUCUGGGCCUCUGCUUAUUUUUCAAGUGCGGGAAAGACUCCAGUCUAGUUCACAGUUUGCCUGAGAGGAUCCCACCUUCUGUAAAAGACCCAUCUGAAAGACAUACUGUUACCUACUACUGUCAGUGGGAAUUAGGAAGAGAAAGAAGGCUCUGCACUGGUUGUGGGGGUCCGGCUCUCAGCUCUAAGAUACUGAACAGCAGCUAUUCUAGGUGAUCUAGCACCCAAUGACCUAGGCACUCAGUCUGUGACCUACAGUUUUAACCUAAGACAAGAGUCUCUUCUGGGUGGAGACCUAGAACAGCUCUGAGGAGAAGGAGCCCAUCCUAUCCUCUCAGUUGGGAUUAGUGUUUGAGAUUACUCAACUUGGAGUUUUCUAACAAUGAGCUUUCCUGGUCAAACAAAGAACUUCUGUGACCAGGCCAAAGUGGGCAUAUCCUCACCACCAGUCUCCCAGGACCACUUUGCUUCUCCUGUUCUCCACACUCCACCCUGCCCCACACAUGGUUUUCAAAAAAGGGCACAGACUUUGUCUGCCACAUGAGCUAAUAAAAACAUGGCCAUCCUUGACUGCUCGACCAUUUUCUUUCCUGGCAAGCCAGCUGGUCUGAAUGUCCAUGGCCUGGUUGAUAGGUUUUAACUAGUGGUACAACAGGCCUAAAAUGUGUUGUAUACAAAUUAAUGCAGUCACUGCGUGAGCAAGGUGAGGUGUGCUUUGCAGCCUCCAUGUGGGUUCCUCUUGGCUUUGUUCUGCCUCCUCCUGCUUGGAUGGUGCAGCCUCUGCUGAAGAGGCAUUCUGGGUGAUUAUGAGCCAACAUUUACAGAUCUCUUCUCUCCUGAGCUGCCCCUUUGGCAUUCUGUAAAAUGUGUAUGUGAGAAAGCAUAGGGUACAGUUCUCAGCACAGGCUGAAGGAAUUUGGGGCGGGAAGAAUGUGGAUGGUUGUCUGAGGCGGCAUCUUGCCAGUCUACCCGUGCAGAAAUGGAGAGUCUGUGUUGGUGACACCACAUGUAUCUCUGUCUAGGGUCUCUUUCUCUAGAGACUGUGCAUCUGCUGAACAUGUAGUCUUUAAGUACUUGAUUGAGGUGGCCUGUGUGACAAACUGGAGUUUCUCCUAUGCUUUAAAUAGAUGAUUUGUUAACAUUCAAAAGGUUCUUAAAGGUGGCUAGAUGUGUAAUAGAGCUAUCCUCUUCAACUGAGAUGUGUAUUGGGGUGAAUUUUAAAAGUAUUGAAUGAUGAUGCAGCAUGCAGAGGGUCUUUCCACUUUAAGACAAGUCAUCUAGUUAAUUUUUCUCAGUCUCAUGCUUGAUUCUUCCUCCUCUUUUUAUUUACCUUUUCCUCAUCUUUCUACUGGGACUGUCCAAAAACAGCAUAGUAAGAAGUGAGAAUGAAUGUCCAGUUCACUGUAGCCAGUUUCCCAGUUUUUAAAUAGGAAACCAGGGUGUAAAAAGACCUAAUUUGUAUAUUGACUCACUGUCAUCAAUAACAAAAUGGGCCCAGGGAGUUUCUAAGCUGCUUCCACCUCUCCCGUGGCCCCCUGAGCUAGGCUUCCCCCAUGUGCGUGUUCUAUGCCUAACAGGUUCUCUCUCCAACUCACUAUUUGCCAUCACCACUGGGAGUCAUCCAUGUGAGAGCAGACUGUGGCAUCCACACACCUUUUCGCAGACUCACCUUGGAAACUUGGAGGAUUUGAGAAGUCAUCCCUGAGCACAAGAUCAAGAUCUGGCAUCCUCCAGCGCCUCUUCUCCCUUGCCUUGAGCAACUACAGUGGCCGUGCCCCAUUGUCAGCACGACGGCUGGUCCUUGGAGCACUUCGCCAUGAGGGAGCUGGUGUUGCUCACUGGUUAGCAAGCUUGUCUCCAGGUUAUUGAUCUUAGUUCUUUGCCACCCACACUUUUCCAUCAGCAUGAAUGGCAGCCACCUCUGGGGACUUCCUGACACAGGUGCUUGUACAUGUUUCUCAGAUGAGUGCUAGAACGUCCUGGUCUAGUUACUCAGUUUACUCCACUUCACACUUCAUCCCAUCUGGCUCCGUCUCUUCUAUACUGUGUGAGGAUAUCUUAUCUGGUCAGCUUGUUCCUUUCCAUUCCCUUCCCUUACAUCUGAAUGAAGAUUCUGAGGGAGGAAAAGAAAAAUAGAGCUCUAAAUAAGAGUUUUCUGCUUGUCACUACAUACUGGCACUGGAGUUAUUUUAUUCGAUACAUUUCAUCAGGACAAAAACAGAUACUUCACGAUAGUAUAUUUAGCUCCUUUGCCAUGUGAGCACUUGACCCCAUUUUCUUUCUCUCUAAAAUUUUGUUAAAAUCUAUAUUAGUCUCGUGAAUAUAGUAAGUCCAGAACCUUAGUUUGCAUGAUGCAUAUUUUUUCAUCCUCUUACUUUCAGCCUGUUUAUAUGUUUGAAUCGAAAGUGUGCCUCCUAUAGUCAGCAUAUCAUUACAUUUCAUUCUUCAUUGUUGUUAUUGUUGUCAUCAUUGAUGUUAAUCCAGUCAGAUAAUCCCUGCCUUUUGAUUGGAUUGUUUGAUUCAUUCACAUUUAAUGGUCUUAUGAAUACAAUUGAAUUUACAUGUGCCAUUUUACUUUUUGUUUUCUUUGUCCCAUGUCUUUGUCCAGUUUUCCUUUGCAGGUUUAUUUUGUAGCAAGUGAAUAUUUUCUAGUAUAACACUUUAAUUUCUUUAAUGAUUGUCUUCAAUGUUUUUUAAAUUGAUUUUCUUAGUAGUUGCUCUAGUGUUUAUAAUAGAGAUUAUAUUUUAUCAGAAUCUACUUCAGAUUUAUAAUCUUAAUUCCAGUAGCAUAUAGAAUUGUUCAUCCUAUAUAUUCUUUCCUCUCCUACCCUUUUCAUUCUAUUAUUUAGAUACAUGUUGUUGUAAUUAUUACUUUAUAUGACCAUCUUUAACUCUUUUUAAAGAAACUGAAAGACUAAAGGAGAGCUGGUGUAUAGUUAUAGAGUUCAUUUGUAACCCUCUUAUUUAUAAUUUCUGGCUCUCUUCAUGUCUUCUUGCAGAUUCCAUUUACUAUCUAGUGCGAUUUCCUUGCUCCAAUAUAGCUCCACCCCCACUUGCCUCCUUUGUGCUAUUAUCAAAUGUUACAUUUCUGUAUGUUAACAGAUCCAACAAUAUAGCUAUAUGCACAUUGUUUUAGUCAAAUGAUUUUUAAUCAGUUAAGAGAGAAGGGGAAAUGCAAUUAUACUGUUUUAUAAUUAGCUACAUACAUUUAUUGGUGGUGUUUUUUGUAUAAAUUCAGAUUACUCUCUUGAGUCCUAUGCUUUCAGCCUGAAGAACUUCAGUAUUUUUUGUAAGACAUGUCUCCUGGCAGUGGAUUUCAUCAUUAGUUGUCCACACAGGAAUGUCUUUAUUUCCUCUUCAUUUUUCAAA